CCCGCGUGGGGGAUGAAUGGCUUCGGCCCGUAAACCCCUGUCAUUUGCGAACAAACCCUGCAGUUUACGAGAUGGCAGGCUGAUCGUAGCAGAAGAGGAAGGGACGGCUAACUCUGUGCCAGCAGCCGCGGUAAUCAGAGGUCCCAAGCGUUGUCGGAUCACUGGGCGUAAAGGAUGCGUAGGCGGCGAGGUAAGUUUGAGGUGAAAUCUCCGGGCUCAACCCGGAAGCGGCCUUGAAGACUAUCUUGCUAGAGGAUCGGAGGGGAGAUCGGAAUUCUCGGUGUAGCAGUGAAAUGCGUAGAUAUCGAGAGGAACACCAGUGGCGAAGGCGGAUCUCUGGACGAAACCUGACGCUGAGGCACGAAAGCCAGGGGAGCAAACGGGAUUAGAUACCCCGGUAGUCCUGGCCCUAAACGGUGCGCACUUGCUGUAGGCGGAAUCGACCCCGUCUGUGGCGAAGGAAACCCGAUAAGUGCGCCGCCUGGGGAGUACGGUCGCAAGAUUAAAACUCAAAGAAAUUGACGGGGGCCUGCACAAGCGGUGGAGUAUGUGGCUUAAUUCGAUGCAACGCGAAGAACCUUACCUGGCCUUGACAUGCAUGUGGUAGGACCGUGAAAGCGGGAACGAACUCGCAAGAGGAGCAUGCCCAGGGUGCUGCAUGGGUGUCGUCAGCUCGUGGUCGUG
This 684-nucleotide ribosomal RNA is filed under the name uncultured archaeon. RNAcentral describes it as "bacterial SSU rRNA". It matches the Rfam family "Bacterial small subunit ribosomal RNA", at positions 396 to 1069 of the family's 1533-position model. The record is from RNAcentral.